AGAGCGAACGCUGGCGGCGUGCUUAACACAUGCAAGUCGAGUGCGCGCCUGUAGCAAUACAGGUGGCGCACGGCGCACGGGUGCGUAACACGUGGGUAAUCUGCCCUUCGAUGGGGAAUAACUUCGGGAAACCGAAGCUAAUUCCGCAUAAUAUUCCGAGAACCUUGGUUUUUGGAUUCAAAGGCGUAAGUCGUCGGAGGAGGAGCCCGCGCACGAUUAGCUAGUUGGUGAGGUAAUGGCUCACCAAGGCUAUGAUCGUUAGCUGGU
Molecule: ribosomal RNA, 267 nt
Filed under: uncultured bacterium
Lineage: Bacteria
Description: partial small subunit ribosomal RNA
Rfam family: Bacterial small subunit ribosomal RNA
Source: RNAcentral